This 1760-nucleotide ribosomal RNA is filed under the name Salmonella enterica. RNAcentral's name for it is "partial 23S ribosomal RNA". It matches the Rfam family "Bacterial large subunit ribosomal RNA", at positions 900 to 2640 of the family's 2925-position model. Lineage: Bacteria; Pseudomonadati; Pseudomonadota; Gammaproteobacteria; Enterobacterales; Enterobacteriaceae. The record is from RNAcentral.
GGGUAGAGCACUGUUUCGGCUAGGGGGCCAUCCCGGCUUACCAACCCGAUGCAAACUGCGAAUACCGGAGAAUGUUAUCACGGGAGACACACGGCGGGUGCUAACGUCCGUCGUGAAGAGGGAAACAACCCAGACCGCCAGCUAAGGUCCCAAAGUCAUGGUUAAGUGGGAAACGAUGUGGGAAGGCCCAGACAGCCAGGAUGUUGGCUUAGAAGCAGCCAUCAUUUAAAGAAAGCGUAAUAGCUCACUGGUCGAGUCGGCCUGCGCGGAAGAUGUAACGGGGCUAAACCAUGCACCGAAGCUGCGGCAGCGACACUUUAGUGUUGUUGGGUAGGGGAGCGUUCUGUAAGCCGUUGAAGGUGUCCUGUGAGGGGUGCUGGAGGUAUCAGAAGUGCGAAUGCUGACAUAAGUAACGAUAAAGCGGGUGAAAAGCCCGCUCGCCGGAAGACCAAGGGUUCCUGUCCAACGUUAAUCGGGGCAGGGUGAGUCGACCCCUAAGGCGAGGCCGAAAGGCGUAGUCGAUGGGAAACGGGUUAAUAUUCCCGUACUUGGUGUUACUGCGAAGGGGGGACGGAGAAGGCUAUGUUGGCCGGGCGACGGUUGUCCCGGUUUAAGCGUGUAGGUGUGUGUUCCAGGUAAAUCCGGUUCACUUUAACACUGAGGCGUGAUGACGAGGCACCACGGUGCUGAAGCAACAAAUGCCCUGCUUCCAGGAAAAGCCUCUAAGCAUCAGGUAACAUCAAAUCGUACCCCAAACCGACACAGGUGGUCAGGUAGAGAAUACCAAGGCGCUUGAGAGAACUCGGGUGAAGGAACUAGGCAAAAUGGUGCCGUAACUUCGGGAGAAGGCACGCUGACACGUAGGUGAAGUGAUUUACUCAUGGAGCUGAAGUCAGUCGAAGAUACCAGCUGGCUGCAACUGUUUAUUAAAAACACAGCACUGUGCAAACACGAAAGUGGACGUAUACGGUGUGACGCCUGCCCGGUGCCGGAAGGUUAAUUGAUGGGGUCAGCGCAAGCGAAGCUCCUGAUCGAAGCCCCGGUAAACGGCGGCCGUAACUAUAACGGUCCUAAGGUAGCGAAAUUCCUUGUCGGGUAAGUUCCGACCUGCACGAAUGGCGUAAUGAUGGCCAGGCUGUCUCCACCCGAGACUCAGUGAAAUUGAACUCGCUGUGAAGAUGCAGUGUACCCGCGGCAAGACGGAAAGACCCCGUGAACCUUUACUAUAGCUUGACACUGAACAUUGAGCCUUGAUGUGUAGGAUAGGUGGGAGGCUUUGAAGCGUGGACGCCAGUCUGCGUGGAGCCGACCUUGAAAUACCACCCUUUAAUGUUUGAUGUUCUAACGUGGACCCGUAAUCCGGGUUGCGGACAGUGUCUGGUGGGUAGUUUGACUGGGGCGGUCUCCUCCUAAAGAGUAACGGAGGAGCACGAAGGUUGGCUAAUCCUGGUCGGACAUCAGGAGGUUAGUGCAAUGGCAUAAGCCAGCUUGACUGCGAGCGUGACGGCGCGAGCAGGUGCGAAAGCAGGUCAUAGUGAUCCGGUGGUUCUGAAUGGAAGGGCCAUCGCUCAACGGAUAAAAGGUACUCCGGGGAUAACAGGCUGAUACCGCCCAAGAGUUCAUAUCGACGGCGGUGUUUGGCACCUCGAUGUCGGCUCAUCACAUCCUGGGGCUGAAGUAGGUCCCAAGGGUAUGGCUGUUCGCCAUUUAAAGUGGUACGCGAGCUGGGUUUAGAACGUCGUGAGACAGUUCGGUCCCUA